UACGUAGGAUGCAAGCGUUGUCCGGAUUUACUGGGCGUAAAGCGCGCGCAGGCGGCACUCUAAGUACGUCGUGAAAUAUCCCGGCUCAACCGGGAGGGUGCGAUGUAGACUAGGGAGCUUGAGGUCGGUAGAGGGGGGUGGAAUUGCUGGUGUAGCGGUGAAAUGCGUAGAGAUCAGCAGGAACACCCGUGGCGAAGGCGGCCCCCUGGGCCGUACCUGACGCUGAGGCGCGAAGGCUAGGGGAG
This 245-nucleotide ribosomal RNA is filed under the name uncultured bacterium. RNAcentral's name for it is "partial 16S ribosomal RNA". It matches the Rfam family "Bacterial small subunit ribosomal RNA", at positions 524 to 768 of the family's 1533-position model. The record is from RNAcentral.